This 1441-nucleotide long non-coding RNA is filed under the name Olea europaea subsp. europaea. Lineage: Eukaryota; Viridiplantae; Streptophyta; Magnoliopsida; Lamiales; Oleaceae. The record is from RNAcentral.
CUAGGCUAUCAUGUUUCGGCGAGGGGAUUGGAAGUGGACAGAGCAAAAAUUGAUACAAUUGAAAAGCUACCACCACCCACCAAUGCCAAAGGCAUUCGAAGUUUCCUAGGGCACGCUGGAUUCUAUAGGAGAUUCAUCAAAGAAUUCUCAAAAGUGGCAAAACCCCUAUGUAACCUUUUGGAGAAGGACACAACGUUCGUAUUUGAUGAAUACUGCUUACGGGCUUUUGAAACCAUAAAGGCAAAAUUAGUCACUGCCCCAGUGAUGGUAGUACCAGAUUGGGAUCAGCCAUUUGAGGUUAUGUGUGAUGCUAGUGAUUACGCAGUAGGGGCAGUUUUAAGACAAAGGCAUGAUAAGAUUUUUCGGGAUCCACUAUGCUAGCAAAAUUCUUAAUGGAGCUCAACUAAAUUACACAACAAUAGAGGAGGAAAUGCUAGCAGUAGUGUUUGCAUGUGACAAAUUCAGAUCUUACCUCAUUGGCACCAAAGUGAUAAUUUACACGGACCAUGCUGCAAUCCGUUAUCUCUUUCAAAAGAAGGAUGCCAAGCAACGCCUAAUUCGAUGGAUACUGCUACUACAGGAAUUUGAUGUAGAGAUUCGGGAUAAGAAAGGCAGCGAGAAUGUCGUUGCAGACCAUCUCUCACGAUUGGAGAAUGAAAAGGUGGUGGAUGACAGUCAAAUUCGAGAAACGUUCCUCGACGAGAUCUUGCUAGCUGUAUCAACAAAGAUCCCAUGGUAUGGUGAUUUUGUUAACUAUUUAGUGUCUGGAAGGUUGCCACUUGACUUGACCUUUCAUCAAAAGAAGAAAUUCCUACAUGAUGUCAAGUCAUUUCUGUGGGAUGAUCCAAUCUUGUUCAAAAGGUGUGCUGAUAGAAUAAUUAGGCGGUGUGUCCCUGUGGAAGAAACGCGAUCAAUCAUGCAGCAUUGCCAUUCCUCACCCUAUGGAGGUCAUUUCGGUCCUACACGUAAUGCUGCAAAGGUAUUGCAAUCUAGUUUCUAUUGGCCAAAUUUGUUCAAAGACUACUAUGUUUUUGUGAAAACAUGUAACCUCUGUCAACGCACUGGAAACAUUUCAAGACAUCAUGAGCUACCAUUAACCAGUAUGCUUGAGGUGGAAUUAUUUGAUGUGUGGGGUAUUGAUUUCAUAGGUCCAUUUCCACCUUCCUUUGGUCAAGAGCAUAUUCUUCUCGCAGUAGAUUAUGUGUCUAAGUGGGUUGAAGCCAUUGCCACACCAACAAAUGAUGCAAAGGUGGUGUUGAAAUAUUUAUAGAAAAACAUCUUCACUCGGUUUGGCACGCCUAGAGCAAUCGUAAGUGACGGAGGUACACAAUUCUGUAACAAGCUUUUCAAUUCUCUUCUAGCUAAGUAUGAUGUCAAGCACAAGUUGGCAUUGAGUUAUCAUCCACAGUCAAAUGGGCAAGCAGAGGUGUCUAACAGAGAG